CAGCCGCCGCGGUAAUACGUAGGUCCCGAGCGUUGUCCGGAUUUAUUGGGCGUAAAGCGAGCGCAGGCGGUUAGAUAAGUCUGAAGUUAAAGGCUGUGGCUUAACCAUAGUACGCUUUGGAAACUGUUUAACUUGAGUGCAAGAGGGGAGAGUGGAAUUCCAUGUGUAGCGGUGAAAUGCGUAGAUAUAUGGAGGAACACCGGUGGCGAAAGCGACUCUCUGGCUUGUAACUGACGCUGAGGCUCGAAAGCGUGGGGAGCAAACAGGAUUAGAUACCCCGGUAGUCCCUGUCUCUUAUACA
RNAcentral lists this ribosomal RNA (301 nucleotides) under uncultured bacterium. RNAcentral's name for it is "partial 16S ribosomal RNA". It matches the Rfam family "Bacterial small subunit ribosomal RNA", at positions 509 to 808 of the family's 1533-position model. The record is from RNAcentral.